AUUUUUGAAGGAUCCACAAUCUAUCAAAUAGUUAUCUACAAGGUUGAAUCCUAGUGAAACAUAAAGCCAUUGGACCUAGAAUUUCUAUAUAUAAAGGAAACGACAGCCAAACUCAGCAACCCAACAGAAGAAUCCAAGAAAAUCAAACACAACAGAAGAACAAUGAAAUGCAAAAAAAAAAAAAAAAAAAACCCAGCAGAAGAAUCAAACACAGCAACCAAACAGAAAACCAAGAAAAUCAAAUGUGAAACAAGAAAGUUAACCUGAAAAUGGAGA
RNAcentral lists this long non-coding RNA (276 nucleotides) under Gossypium raimondii (Peruvian cotton). Its description in RNAcentral is "long non-coding RNA (GRAI_LNC003618)". The record is from RNAcentral. Lineage: Eukaryota; Viridiplantae; Streptophyta; Magnoliopsida; Malvales; Malvaceae.